GGGGAUAUGGCGAAAUUGGUAGACGCUGCGGACUUAAAAUCCGUUGACUUUAAAAAUUGUGAGGGUUCAAGUCCCUCUAUCCCCA
This 85-nucleotide transfer RNA is filed under the name Vesper montanus. Its description in RNAcentral is "tRNA-Leu". It matches the Rfam family "tRNA". Rfam says of the family: Transfer RNA (tRNA) molecules are approximately 80 nucleotides in length. Their secondary structure includes four short double-helical elements and three loops (D, anti-codon, and T loops). RNAcentral also lists the same sequence under 2 other names. Lineage: Eukaryota; Viridiplantae; Streptophyta; Magnoliopsida; Apiales; Apiaceae. The record is from RNAcentral.